RNAcentral lists this ribosomal RNA (543 nucleotides) under Salmonella enterica subsp. enterica serovar Anatum. RNAcentral's name for it is "partial 23S ribosomal RNA". It matches the Rfam family "Bacterial large subunit ribosomal RNA", at positions 140 to 722 of the family's 2925-position model. The record is from RNAcentral. Lineage: Bacteria; Pseudomonadati; Pseudomonadota; Gammaproteobacteria; Enterobacterales; Enterobacteriaceae.
UCGUCACACUAUCAUUAACUGAAUCCAUAGGUUAAUGAGGCGAACCGGGGGAACUGAAACAUCUAAGUACCCCGAGGAAAAGAAAUCAACCGAGAUUCCCCCAGUAGCGGCGAGCGAACGGGGAGGAGCCCAGAGCCUGAAUCAGCAUGUGUGUUAGUGGAAGCGUCUGGAAAGGCGCGCGAUACAGGGUGACAGCCCCGUACACAAAAGCGCAUGUGCUGUGAGCUCGAUGAGUAGGGCGGGACACGUGGUAUCCUGUCUGAAUAUGGGGGGACCAUCCUCCAAGGCUAAAUACUCCUGACUGACCGAUAGUGAACCAGUACCGUGAGGGAAAGGCGAAAAGAACCCCGGCGAGGGGAGUGAAAAAGAACCUGAAACCGUGUACGUACAAGCAGUGGGAGCACAGGUUUACCUGUGUGACUGCGUACCUUUUGUAUAAUGGGUCAGCGACUUAUAUUCUGUAGCAAGGUUAACCGAAUAGGGGAGCCGGAGGGAAACCGAGUCUUAAUUGGGCGUUAAGUUGCAGGGUAUAGACCCGAAACC